Molecule: transfer RNA, 60 nt
Filed under: Rhodocyclaceae bacterium
Lineage: Bacteria; Pseudomonadati; Pseudomonadota; Betaproteobacteria; Rhodocyclales; Rhodocyclaceae
Description: tRNA-Ser
Rfam family: tRNA
About the family: Transfer RNA (tRNA) molecules are approximately 80 nucleotides in length. Their secondary structure includes four short double-helical elements and three loops (D, anti-codon, and T loops).
Source: RNAcentral
GGUUAGAGCGCCACGUUGACAUCGUGGAGGUCGGCGGUUCGACUCCGUCAGGACGCACCA